UACGGGAGGCAGCAGUGGGGAAUAUUGCACAAUGGGCGCAAGCCUGAUGCAGCCAUGCCGCGUGUAUGAAGAAGGCCUUCGGGUUGUAAAGUAUUUUCAGUCGUGAGGAAGGUGUUAAGGUUAAUAACCUUAGCAAUUGACGUUAGCGACAGAAGAAGCACCGGCUAACUCCGUGCCAGCAGCCGCGGUAAUACGGAGGGUGCGAGCGUUAAUCGGAAUUACUGGGCGUAAAGGGCACGCAGGCGGUUAAUUAAGUUGGAUGUGAAAUCCCCGGGCUUAACCUGGGAAUGGCAUUCAAGACUGGUUAGCUAGAGUCUUGUAGAGGGGGUAGAAUUCCAUGUGUAGCGGUGAAAUGCGUAGAGAUGUGGAGGAAUACCGGUGGCGAAGGCGGCCCCUGGACAAAGACUGACGCUCAUGUGCGAAAGCGUGGGGAGCAAACAGGGAUUAGAUACC
This 453-nucleotide ribosomal RNA is filed under the name uncultured bacterium. Its description in RNAcentral is "bacterial SSU rRNA". It matches the Rfam family "Bacterial small subunit ribosomal RNA", at positions 340 to 786 of the family's 1533-position model. The record is from RNAcentral.